Molecule: ribosomal RNA, 441 nt
Filed under: uncultured bacterium
Lineage: Bacteria
Description: partial 16S ribosomal RNA
Rfam family: Bacterial small subunit ribosomal RNA
Source: RNAcentral
CCUACGGGUGGCAGCAGUGGGGAAUAUUGGGCAAUGGACGCAAGUCUGAUCCAGCAACGCCGCGUGAAGGAAGAAGGCUUUCGGGUUGUAAACCUCUUUUAGGGGGGAAGAGCAGAAGACGGUCCCCCUUGAAUAAGCCACGGCUUACUACGUGCAAGAAGCCGCGGUAAUACGUAGGUGGCAAGCGUUGUCCGGUUUUAAUGGGUUUAACGGGUGCGUAGGGGGCGUGUUAAGUCAGAGGUAAUAGCCCGGGGCUCAACCCCGGCGAGUCGUUGAAAUUGGCUGUCUUGAGAGGACGGGAGGUAUGCGGAAUGCGCAGUGUAGCGGGGAAAUGCUUAGAGAUUACGCAGAACUCCGAUUGCGAAGGCAGCAUACCGGCGGCGAUCUGACGCUGAGGCACGAAAGCGUGGGGAGCGAACAGGAUUAGAUACCCCAGUAGUC